RNAcentral lists this unclassified non-coding RNA (485 nucleotides) under Hevea brasiliensis (rubber tree). The record is from RNAcentral. Lineage: Eukaryota; Viridiplantae; Streptophyta; Magnoliopsida; Malpighiales; Euphorbiaceae.
AAAAAAAAAAAAGAAAGAAAAAAUAUUUUAAAAAAAUUUAUAACUAAAAAGUAAAAACAAUGUUAUAUUUAGUGUUUAUGAAUGGAGUCUGAUCUUAACUAAUGACAAGUUGAUGAAGAAUCGAUUUUAGGACUAAUGUUUAGUGGUUUCAAUUUUUAAAAAUAUUAGGACUUGAUUAUUAGAAAAAAGUAUUUGGAAAUAAUUUUAAAAAGUAUCAACCUUUUAGUACUACUGCAAAUGAUUUUUUAGUGCGUCAGCCUAGAUCAAACCAAAUUCUUGCUUACAUCUCAUUAACAAAUGAGCGCCAGAAUUAGAUUUUCUCAUUUUUUAGGAGUCUAAGCAAUUGGAAAUAAUUUUGUCCAAAUUUGGUGUGUCUAUACAUGGACACUUAUGAGUAAAUCUAAUCUUGUUUAAGAUCUGCAUUUUCUAGCAAAGUUUCAAAAGUAAAUUUGAAUCCAUUUUAAUGUUAAUAGAUAAACUCAAAU